Molecule: ribosomal RNA, 253 nt
Filed under: uncultured bacterium
Lineage: Bacteria
Description: partial 16S ribosomal RNA
Rfam family: Bacterial small subunit ribosomal RNA
Source: RNAcentral
UACGUAGGGUGCAAGCGUUAAUCGGAAUUACUGGGCGUAAAGCGUGCGCAGGCGGUUUUGUAAGUCUGUCGUGAAAGCCCCGGGCUCAACCUGGGAAUUGCGAUGGAGACUGCAAGGCUUGAAUCUGGCAGAGGGGGGUAGAAUUCCACGUGUAGCAGUGAAAUGCGUAGAGAUGUGGAGGAACACCGAUGGCGAAGGCAGCCCCCUGGGCCAAUACUGACGCUCAUGCACGAAAGCGUGGGGAGCAAACAGG